UAAUAUUUGGCAAUGGGGGAAACCCUGACCCAGCAACGCCGCGUGAAGGAAGAAGGUUUUCGGAUUGUAAACUUCUGUCCUUGGUGAAGAGAAGAAGACGGUAGCCAAGGAGGAAGCCCCGGCUAACUACGUGCCAGCACCCGCGGUAAUACGUAGGGGGCAAGCGUUGUCCGGAAUGAUUGGGCGUAAAGGGCGCGUAGGCGGCUUUAUAAGUCUGGAGUGAAAGUCCUCUUUUCAAGGGAGGAAUUGCUUUGGAAACUAUAGAGCUUGAGUGCAGGAGAGGUUAUCGGAAUUCCCGGUGUAGCGGUGAAAUGCGUAGAUAUCGGGAGGAACAUCGGUGGCGAAGGCGGGUAACUGGACUGCAACUGACGCUGAGGCGCGAAAGUGUGGGGAGCAAACAGG
This 402-nucleotide ribosomal RNA is filed under the name uncultured bacterium. RNAcentral describes it as "partial 16S ribosomal RNA". It matches the Rfam family "Bacterial small subunit ribosomal RNA", at positions 359 to 776 of the family's 1533-position model. The record is from RNAcentral.